This 91-nucleotide transfer RNA is filed under the name Corynespora cassiicola Philippines. It matches the Rfam family "tRNA". From Rfam's summary of the family: Transfer RNA (tRNA) molecules are approximately 80 nucleotides in length. Their secondary structure includes four short double-helical elements and three loops (D, anti-codon, and T loops). The record is from Rfam by way of RNAcentral. Lineage: Eukaryota; Fungi; Ascomycota; Dothideomycetes; Pleosporales; Corynesporascaceae.
GGUCGAUUAGCUCAGUUGGUUAGAGCGUGGUGCUAAUAGCUUCACCAGCUAUGACACGCCAAGGCCAUGGGUUCAAGCCCCAUAUUGACCU